This 85-nucleotide transfer RNA is filed under the name Felis catus (domestic cat). It matches the Rfam family "tRNA". Rfam says of the family: Transfer RNA (tRNA) molecules are approximately 80 nucleotides in length. The record is from Rfam by way of RNAcentral. Lineage: Eukaryota; Metazoa; Chordata; Mammalia; Carnivora; Felidae.
UCCUGGCUGGCUCAGUCGGUUGAGCGUCUGACCUUGGCUCAGGUCAUGAUUUCACGGUUCGUGGGUUAGAGUCCCACAUCAGGCU